UUUAUUUAAAAAGAAUUUGAUUUACCACUUAGAUAUUUUAUCUACUUGACUUUCAAGCUUGACAUAAGUCCUAGGGAAAGAAGUAGCUGCUUCUCGCUCGUGUAGAUUGUUGUACCGUCAGGUGUAUGAAAGUGUAAACCCCACUUUCCACGCAUAGAAGCAGGCUACACUUCAGAAGUCCACACUGUGUGCCUGUCUGCAGACAUCUUUCCGACCGGGAACUCUGGCCUGGGGACGCCAAGAACCGCUGGUCUGCUUCUCUGAAGUCUUCGCUGACGUUUUGCCCUUGACCUCUGGAGCCCGUUUCCUAACACACCCUUCGAAACGCAUAGGCACGUAGCAGAUGCGCAGCAAAUGAGGACGGGUGAAGGAGGCGGCUGACAGAGACGCCUGUGGAGAGGCUGUUGUUCUUUUUACUGUUUUAUUUUGCCUCUGAAGACGGAUGCGUAGGUGCAGGCCGGGAGUGAAACCAGUCAGGAUAGAAAAACUCAGACUCGCUCACGGUGGUGUCCCGUAAGGUGAAGGUUGUCGCGCUAAUAAUCGUCAGCGCUGAGCGGGAACAAUCACCAGCAGAUCUCUGGCAGAACCAGGCACUCCCCCCCGCUCGCCCCCGCGCCUCACCCGCUGGGUCAGAGCCGUUGGAACAAUUCUACUCUGGGACAUCGGUCCCCUGGUGGCCCCAGGUAGCAGUGUUUGUCAAACUCGUGGAACACGAUCGGUUGGGAGACGGCUGAUGCUGAUGCUGGGAAAGAUUA
Long non-coding RNA from Cervus elaphus (red deer), 755 nucleotides. RefSeq lists it as uncharacterized. The record is from RefSeq and is a predicted model, not a curated record. The transcript has 3 exons. Lineage: Eukaryota; Metazoa; Chordata; Mammalia; Artiodactyla; Cervidae.